This 1512-nucleotide non-coding RNA is filed under the name Nicotiana sylvestris (wood tobacco). RNAcentral's name for it is "Eukaryotic large subunit ribosomal RNA". It matches the Rfam family "Eukaryotic large subunit ribosomal RNA", at positions 1889 to 3399 of the family's 3401-position model. The record is from Rfam by way of RNAcentral. Lineage: Eukaryota; Viridiplantae; Streptophyta; Magnoliopsida; Solanales; Solanaceae. RNAcentral also lists the same sequence under 1 other name.
GAUGGAACAAUGUAAGCAAGGUUAGUCGGCAAAUGGAUCUGUAACUUCGGGAAAAGGAUUAGCUCUGAGGGCUGGGAAUGAGGGUCCUAGUCUCAAACCCAUUGGUUGUCGGUGGAAUACGCACGCUGCUCCCAUGGCGAGAGCGGGUCGCCGCGUGCCAACCGGGGGAAAAACUGGGAACGGUUCCUUUGGGGGCCUUCCCCAGGCGUCGAACAACCAAUUCAGAACUGGUAAGGACAAGAAGAAUCUGACUGUUUAAUUAAAACAAAGCAUUGCGAUGGUCCCUGCAGAUGUUUACGUAAUGUGAUUUCUGCCUAGUACUCUGAAUGUCAAAGUGAAGAAAUUUAACCAAGCGCGGGUAAAUGGCGGGAGCAACUAUGACUCUCUUAAGGUAUCCAAAUGCCUUGUCAUCUAAUUAGUGACACACAUGAAUAGAUUAAUAAGAUUCUCACUAUCCCUGUCUACUAUCCAGCAUAACUACAGCCAAGGGAACGUGCUUGGUAGAAUCAGCGGGGAAAGAAGACCCUGUUGAGAUUGACUGUAAUCCGACUUUAUGAAAUGACUUGAGAGGUGUAGUAUAAGUGGGAGCCGAAAGACGAAAGUGAAAAACCAGUAUACCACUACUUCUAACGUUAUUUUACUUAUUAUGUGAAUCAGAAGUGGAGCACUGCCCCUCUUUUUGGACCCAAGGUUUACUUGCAGGCCGAUCUGGGUGGAAGACAUUGUUAGGUGGGGAGUUUGGUUGGGGCAGCACAUCUGUUAAAACAUAAUGCAGGUGUCCUAAGAUGAGCUCAACGGGAAUAGAAAUCUCGUGUGGAACAGAAGGGUAAAAACUCGUUUGAUUCUAAUUUUCAAUAUGAAUACGAACCAUGAAAACGUGGCCUAACGAUCCUUUAGACCUUCGGAAUUCGAAGCUAGAGGUGUCAGAAAAGUUAACAUAGGGAUAACUGGCUUAUGACAGCCAAGCGUUCAUAGCGACGUUGCUUUUUGAUCCUUCGAUUUCGGCUCUUCCUAUCAUUGUGAAGCAGAAUUCAUCAAGUAUUCGAUUGUUUACCCACCAAUAGGGAACGUGAGCUGGGUUUAGACCGUCAUGAGAUAGGUUAGUUUUACCCUACUGAUGACAGUGUCGCAAUAGUAAUUCAACCUAGUACGAGAGGAACUGUUGAUUUGCACAAUUGGUCAUCGCGCUUGGUUGAAAAGCUAGUGGUGCAAAGCUACCAUGCGCUAGAUUAUGACUGAACGCCUCUAAGUCAGAAUCCGGUCUAGAAGCGAUGCAUGCGCCCACCGUCCACUUACAGACACGCAGUAGGGGCCUUUGGCCCCCAAGGGAAAGUGUCGUUGGUUAAGUCAUCGCGGUGGAAUAGCCGCGGUGGCCGCCUUGAAGUACAAUUUCCAUCAAGCGGCGGGUAGAAUCCUUUCCAGAUAACUUAAAUACAUGACGAGGUAUUGUAAGUGGCAGAGUGGCCUUGCUGCCACGAUCCACUGAGAUUCAGCCCUUUGUUGCUCCGAUUC